Hibiscus syriacus is the source of this 229-nucleotide long non-coding RNA. RefSeq lists it as uncharacterized. The transcript has 3 exons. Lineage: Eukaryota; Viridiplantae; Streptophyta; Magnoliopsida; Malvales; Malvaceae. The record is from RefSeq and is a predicted model, not a curated record.
UAUCAAAUUAAAAAAAAUGGCUGCAGGGGUUUAAGCCUGCGCAGAAACGACCGACAGGCAUAUAAAUCAUAGCUAAUAUUUUUAAUUCAAUUUGGAAGAUCGAAAAUGAUGUAAAAUUUGCAGAUCCAGUAGAUCCUACUCAAAAGCGAAUUAUUUUUUUUUCAGGGGAAAAAUUCAAUCAAAGUUUAAGCCAUCGACCACCAAUAUUAACUUAUUUUGAAUUCAAAGC